GACGAACGCUGGCGGCGUGCCUAAUACAUGCAAGUCGAACGAACCGCGACUAAGUGCUUGCACUAAGUCAAGGUGAGUGGCGAACGGGUGAGUAACACGUGGGUAACCUACCUCAUAGUGGGGGAUAACAGUCGGAAACGACUGCUAAUACCGCAUAGGACAUAGGAUCACAUGAUCCAGUGAGGAAAGGUGGCGCAAGCUAUCGCUAAGAGAUGGACCCGCGGUGCAUUAGCUAGUUGGUAGGGUAAAGGCCUACCAAGGCGAUGAUGCAUAGCCGACCUGAGAGGGUGAUCGGCCACAUUGGGACUGAGACACGGCCCAAACUCCUACGGGAGGCAGCAGUAGGGAAUCUUCCGCAAUGGACGCAAGUCUGACGGAGCAACGCCGCGUGAGUGAAGAAGGUCUUCGGAUCGUAAAGCUCUGUUGUUAGAAAAGAACAGCGCAUAGAGUAACUGCUAUGCGUGUGACGGUACCUAAACAGAAAGCCACGGCUAACUACGUG
RNAcentral lists this ribosomal RNA (502 nucleotides) under uncultured bacterium. Its description in RNAcentral is "partial 16S ribosomal RNA". It matches the Rfam family "Bacterial small subunit ribosomal RNA", at positions 28 to 507 of the family's 1533-position model. The record is from RNAcentral.